GAUGAACGCUGGCGGCGUGCCUAAUGCAUGCAAGUCGAACGCACACCUUCGGGUGUGAGUGGCGGACUGCUGAGGAACACGUGGGUAACCUGCCCCGCAGUGGGGGAUAACACGUCGAAAGAUGUGCUAAUCCCGCAUACGAUCCUUCGGGAGGAAAGCAGCAAUGCGCUGUGGGAGGGGCCUGCGGCCCAUCAGGUAGUUGGUGUGGUAACGGCGCACCAAGCCAAUGACGGGUACCUGGUCUGAGAGGACGACCAGGCAGACUGGGACUGAGACACGGCCCAGACUCCUACGGGAGGCAGCAGCAAGGAAUUUUCGGCAAUGGGCGAGAGCCUGACCGAGCAACGCCGCGUGCAGGAUGACGGCCUUCGGGUUGUAAACUGCUUUUGGAUGGGACGAUAAUGACGGUACCAUCCGAAUAAGCCCCGGCUAACUCCGUG
This 440-nucleotide ribosomal RNA is filed under the name uncultured bacterium. Its description in RNAcentral is "bacterial SSU rRNA". It matches the Rfam family "Bacterial small subunit ribosomal RNA", at positions 28 to 507 of the family's 1533-position model. The record is from RNAcentral.